CGAUGAACCACAUUCGGUGGGGAUUAGUGGCGAACGGGUGAGUAACACGUGGGCAAUCUGCCCUGCACUCUGGGACAAGCCCUGGAAACGGGGUCUAAUACCGGAUACUGACCCUCACGGGCAUCUGUGAGGUUCGAAAGCUCCGGCGGUGCAGGAUGAGCCCGCGGCCUAUCAGCUUGUUGGUGAGGUAAUGGCUCACCAAGGCGACGACGGGUAGCCGGCCUGAGAGGGCGACCGGCCACACUGGGACUGAGACACGGCCCAGACUCCUACGGGAGGCAGCAGUGGGGAAUAUUGCACAAUGGGCGAAAGCCUGAUGCAGCGACGCCGCGUGAGGGAUGACGGCCUUCGGGUUGUAAACCUCUUUCAGCAGGGAAGAAGCGAAAGUGACGGUACCUGCAGAAGAAGCGCCGGCUAACUACGUGCCAGCAGCCGCGGUAAUACGUAGGGCGCGAGCGUUGUCCGGAAUUAUUGGGCGUAAAGAGCUCGUAGGCGGCUUGUCGCGUCGGUUGUGAAAGCCCGGGGCUUAACCCCGGGUCUGCAGUCGAUACGGGCAGGCUAGAGUUCGGUAGGGGAGAUCGGAAUUCCUGGUGUAGCGGUGAAAUGCGCAGAUAUCAGGAGGAACACCGGUGGCGAAGGCGGAUCUCUGGGCCGAUACUGACGCUGAGGAGCGAAAGCGUGGGGAGCGAACAGGAUUAGAUACCCUGGUAGUCCACGCCGUAAACGGUGGGCACUAGGUGUGGGCAACAUUCCACGUUGUCCGUGCCGCAGCUAACGCAUUAAGUGCCCCGCCUGGGGAGUAC
RNAcentral lists this ribosomal RNA (803 nucleotides) under Streptomyces sp. RNAcentral describes it as "bacterial SSU rRNA". It matches the Rfam family "Bacterial small subunit ribosomal RNA", at positions 67 to 883 of the family's 1533-position model. The record is from RNAcentral. Lineage: Bacteria; Bacillati; Actinomycetota; Actinomycetes; Kitasatosporales; Streptomycetaceae.